GGUAAAAUGUCCGAACUUAUUACUUGCGAUCUGUUGUUGGGCAUAACUUUGUCAUUGUUUGAAACAUAGAAACAAAAAUUAUCCGUGAUAUUGUUUGUAACUUCGGAUCUUCUCUUCUUGAACGUCUGAACUUCGGACACUACCACUGAGCUAUUAGAGAUUGUGGCAGGCUAGGCUGUGUAACUAGGUCAUUGUUCCAUGCCAUUUGGUAGAAAUGCACACUGAAUAAGGCAAAUAAUAAAGCACUAAUGGAGACUACAGUAUGGUUCCUGUUACUCAUUUUCUUUUGGUUGAGGCUUACAUCUUGUGAAUAUGUCAUCCAGACUUUUGAUGGAGAAAUUGGAGCAGGAAAUUUUACUUAUUUUACAUUGAAGAAAGAAGGAGAAGUAACAUUAAUCCUGGAGAGCAUAGAGGGUGAUGCCGAUAUAUAUGUUUCACAAGAGAAUCUCAAGCCUGAUUUUGAAAAUUACGAUCUCAAGUCAGCAACUUGCGGUGAAGACAUUGUUACAAUUCCAAGUACUUAUAAGAGACCUAUUGGAAUCUCAGUGUUUGGCCAUGUAUAUGCCCCUACCACUAGAUACACUAUGAAAGUCUUAAUGGACUAUUCAUCUGGAGAUGAGAGUGAAAGAUAUCAUAGUGAAACUGAUGAGCCAGAGGAAUCACUUAUUUGGACAGUGUUUGUCAACAUUUUAAAGCUUAUUUUGGAGAUUCUUCUGUGAACAUUGAGGGUUUCCUUUCACAUGAAGAGAAAUUAUUGUUAUAGGUCUUGAGAACCCUUGCUUCAAGCUACUGCAAUAUGUACCAUGAACUAUUGAAAUGAUGUAUGAGAUUAGUGCCAGUACAGGCAUAUGGGGUAAGUUUGGCCCAUCAUAUUCCUUAAACAAGCACAGGGAACUAUCUUUUUAAUGUAUUUUUUUUCCAAAAUUGACAUUGGUAGGGAACAUUUCAGGAUAGUCAAAAAAAAGUUUGAUAACUUUUUUUUUCUGAGGAAUCACCUCAAGGUAUUUUCCGUUUUUCAGAUGGGCAGUUGUGAUUACUUUGGUUUUGGUAUUACUUCACUUAAUGGAAAGUGCUCUAUUAUUAGCAGCAGUACUAGUAUAAGUAACAGUAUUAGUACCAGUAUUAGUACCAGUAUCAGUACCAAUAUUAGUACCAGUAAGAUUUUCUCUUCUCACUAAGAUCGAGCAUAUUUUCAAAAGUGACAGAAAUAAUUACAGGUAUAAGACCCCUUCAAAGAAACAUCAAUCACCACUUUGCUGAGUAAAUGGAUGAGUAUUUACAUAUAAUUCUAAUCAGCUUCAUUGUCAUCACCCUUUGCACCAGGCUAACAUUAGCAUUCAUAUUCUCCACAGUUUUCUUUACAAUUCCUGUAGUACUCACAAGGAGAAUUUGUGUGACAAUCAGGAGCUUCUAAAAUGGUCAUCAUUUCUGUUAUUCCUUUGACAUUAACAUUUGAUUCAAGGGUUUCUUGUCAUGGAACAACAAAGUUGACAUCCUCUGAAGGAUUAUAACGAUACAAAACUCUGUUAUGCUACAAUUAAGGCCCAGAUAGCUCUGGUAUAUGAUUUUACUCUUGAGGAAAAUUUCCAUAAAUGCCCUUGUACUAAAAAUGUUCAGUAACUCAGAUCAGCAGAACUUGUCUAUGUUCAGUAGGCCCUACAUAUUUAUUUAUGAUCUGCUCACUAUGAGCUAUUAUGGAAUAAAUACACCUUACAUAAUUCCAUGAUUUUACAUAUAAAUUACAUAAACAAUUCUCCAUUUGGUGCAAAAAUAUGCUCACAUAUUUCUCCAUGGACAUCAUCUGUUCAGAGAGUAAAGCUCCAAGAAAGGUGUGAGCUUUGAGGAACAGAUAAUGUCCAAGGACAAAUAAGAGCAUAUUUUCGCGCCAAGUGGAGGAUAUUGCGUUUGACGAGCGGGAAAAAUGUUAUGAACAACUUACUGUUUACAGAAUGGUAUGUUUACUAUUCAGUGUUCUCUGAUAUGAUUUCAUGAAAAAUAAAAACAUGUUCCUUCUUCUGUAACAACCACAUUCACUUUCUCAUCUUGAAAUAAAUUUUAAAAGUAGGUUGUCUGUAUUGGAGGGUUUGAAAAUUGGGGAAUAUCACCUGGGUUUAUCCUUGGAUAUCCCCCAGUUUUAGUUGGGGGAAAUUCAGUUGUUUGAUUGCACGCAAGCAAAAAUAUUGGUAGGAUUGAAAGCAUAGAUACUUUGUGAGUUGC
Non-coding RNA from Pocillopora verrucosa, 2217 nucleotides. The record is from RefSeq and is a predicted model, not a curated record. Lineage: Eukaryota; Metazoa; Cnidaria; Anthozoa; Scleractinia; Pocilloporidae.